GACGAACGCUGGCGGCGUGCCUAAUACAUGCAAGUCGAGCGAACAGACUUGGAGCUUUCUCCUCUGACGUUAGCUGCGGACGGUUGACUAACACCUGGUUAAUCUACCGUUAGUAAUGUGCUAAUUUCGUUAAACCAGCGCCGAUACACGAUAAUAUAUUGAACCUCAUGCUACAUUAUCACAUGAUCAUUUUGUCGUCGCUUUUCGAUGAAUCCUCGCCGCAUUGGCUAUUAGGUAAGGUAACGGCUUACGAACGCGACGGUGCGUAGCCGACAUGAGAGGGAGGACGGCCACACUGGAACUGAGACACGGUCCAGACUCCGAAGGGAGGACGCAGUAGGGAAUCUUACGCAAGGGGCGAAAGCGUGACGGAGCAAAGCCGCGUGAGUGAUGAAGGUCUUCGGAUCGUAAAACGCUGUUAUUAGGGAAGAACAAAUGUGUAAGUAAGUAGGAAGGUCUUGACGGUACCUAAACAGAAAGCCACGGCUAACUACGUG
This 497-nucleotide ribosomal RNA is filed under the name uncultured bacterium. RNAcentral describes it as "partial 16S ribosomal RNA". It matches the Rfam family "Bacterial small subunit ribosomal RNA", at positions 28 to 507 of the family's 1533-position model. The record is from RNAcentral.